GAACGCUGGCGGCGUGCCUAAUACAUGCAAGUCGAACGGAGGAUGUAGCAAUAUAUCCUUAGUGGCGAACGGGUGAGUAACGCGUGGGUGACCUGCCCCAAAGUGUGGGAUAACAGUUCGAAAGGAUUGCUAAUACCGCAUGUGGUCACAGGAAUUAGAAACCUGUGUCCAAAGGAGUAAUCCGCUUUGGGAGGGGCCUGCGUCCCAUCAGCUAGUUGGUAGGGUAAUGGCCUACCAAGGCGUCGACGGGUAGGGGACCUGAGAGGGUGGCCCCCCACAAUGGAACUGAAACACGGUCCAUACACCUACGGGUGGCAGCAGUAGGGAAUAUUGGUAAUCUACGAAAGUGGGAACCAGCAACGCCGCGUGUGCGAUGAAGGCCUUCGGGUCGUAAAGCACUUUUUGAGAGGAUGAGGAAGGACAGUACUCUCAGAAUAAGUCUCGGCUAACUACGUGCCAGCAGCCGCGGUAAAACGUAGGAGACGAGCGUUAUCCGGAUUUACUGGGCGUAAAGCGCGUGCAGGCGGUUUGGUAAGUUGGGUGUGAAAGCUCCUGGCUCAACUGGGAGAGGUCAUUCAAUACUGCCGGACUAGAGGAUGGUAGAGGGAGGUGGAAUUCCGAGUGUAGUGGUGAAAUGCGUAGAUAUUCGGAGGAACACCAGUGGCGAAAGCGGCCUCCUGGACCAUAUCUGACGCUCAGACGCGAAAGCUAGGGGAGCAAACGGGAUUAGAGACCCCGGUAGUCCUAGCAGUAAACUAUGUAGACUUGGCGUCGGUGGGUUUAAAUCCAUCGGUGCCGCAGCUAACGCGAUAAGUCUACCGCCUGGGGACUACGGCCCGCAGGUUAAAACU
RNAcentral lists this ribosomal RNA (851 nucleotides) under uncultured bacterium. RNAcentral's name for it is "bacterial SSU rRNA". It matches the Rfam family "Bacterial small subunit ribosomal RNA", at positions 31 to 901 of the family's 1533-position model. The record is from RNAcentral.